This 495-nucleotide ribosomal RNA is filed under the name uncultured bacterium. RNAcentral describes it as "partial 16S ribosomal RNA". It matches the Rfam family "Bacterial small subunit ribosomal RNA", at positions 28 to 507 of the family's 1533-position model. The record is from RNAcentral.
GACGAACGCUGGCGGCGUGCCUAAUACAUGCAAGUAGAACGCUGAAGGAGGAGCUUGCUUCUCUGGAUGAGUUGCGAACGGGUGAGUAACGCGUAGGUAACCUGCCUGGUAGCGGGGGAUAACUAUUGGAAACGAUAGCUAAUACCGCAUAAUAGCAGUUGUUGUAUGACAACUGUUUGAAAGGUGCAAUUGCACCACUACCAGAUGGACCUGCGUUGUAUUAGCUAGUUGGUGGGGUAACGGCUCACCAAGGCGACGAUACAUAGCCGACCUGAGAGGGUGAUCGGCCACACUGGGACUGAGACACGGCCCAGACUCCUACGGGAGGCAGCAGUAGGGAAUCUUCGGCAAUGGACGGAAGUCUGACCGAGCAACGCCGCGUGAGUGAAGAAGGUUUUCGGAUCGUAAAGCUCUGUUGUAAGAGAAGAACGAGUGUGAGAGUGGAAAGUUCACACUGUGACGGUAUCUUACCAGAAAGGGACGGCUAACUACGUG